AUGAGUAAACAAAGAAUAACAAUGACAACUCCUUUCAUAACAAGGCAGCUGCAAGGAGUAAAAGCAGGAGGAUAUCGAAGAGACACAGACGCACACACACACACAAAUUGUACAACCAGAUAUCGGCUCUGGUGGACCUGCAUACGGUGCCAGGGCCGGUUUCUGAGCCACCUCCAUCCUUUCUGCAGCCUGCCAGGUGCAGGUCCAAGCCCAUGGAUGCUUCCAACCACGUUAACGGUGCUGCCUUCACAAAUCAUGUCGGUAUUUGCCCUGCUCUGGAUGAAGCUGCUGGACUGAACUUUCAGGAGGCUAUGGGAUGGGUAAUUUCACAUGGAAGCACAGAGGCAGAACCAGCUUUCAGAGCUGCGCUGCUGCCCUGAGCUCACACGCAGCCCCGAGCCCUUCCUCAAUGCUGCCUCUUCACUUCAGGCUGAUGUGUCAGGGCUUGCUUGUUUCUAAGAAGAUGAGUCCUCUGAGGAUGAGAUGGUGCUUCGAUUCAGCAGCUGGUGGCCACCUCGGGGAGCAGUGCAGAGACUGGAGGGCGUGGGGAGAAAGGAGGAUCUGAGGGGAGCAGUUAGGUGGAAGAAGGUGGUAGCCAUGCAGAGCACACUUCAAGGUUUACCUCCUGAGGCACUGCUGAGAUGAUCCGGAGAGAGUAAGUUUACUGAGGGGUGUGUGUGCACUCACAUGCGUGCGUGCGUGCGUGUGUGCCUGUGUAUAUACAAGGGCAUGAUUCUCCUGUUUAGUCUGCCCUCAACUAUUCAAAAACACAUCUUCUGUUUCUUCCUCUGUAAUAACAAUCUCUUCAUACCCAGCCCAGCCCUCGGCUUGCUACUGCAUCUAUUGUCAUCCAACUCAAUUCUGCAAUCCUUUCCCAGCACAGAGAGGAACCAAGGACUUCUGAAAACAAGCAGAC
RNAcentral lists this long non-coding RNA (916 nucleotides) under Chinchilla lanigera (long-tailed chinchilla). RNAcentral describes it as "lncRNA (ENSCLAG00000029179.1)". Lineage: Eukaryota; Metazoa; Chordata; Mammalia; Rodentia; Chinchillidae. The record is from RNAcentral.